This 501-nucleotide ribosomal RNA is filed under the name Chromera velia. RNAcentral describes it as "partial Bacterial large subunit ribosomal RNA". It matches the Rfam family "Bacterial large subunit ribosomal RNA", at positions 1976 to 2486 of the family's 2925-position model. Lineage: Eukaryota; Chromeraceae. The record is from RNAcentral.
GUAAGUUCCGACCUGCACGAAUGGUGCAACGAUCUGGACACUGUCUCGACCAUGAUCUCGGUGAAAUUGUAGUAUCGGUGAAGAUGCCGGUUACCCGCAGUGGGACGAAAAGACCCCGUGCACCUUUACUAUAGCUUCGUAUUGACCUUGGUCAAACAAUGUGUAGGAUAGCUGGGAGGCUUCGAAGCCCUGCCGCCAGGCAGGGUGGAGCCGUUGUUGAAAUACCAGCCUUUGUUUGUCCGGGGCCUAACCCCGUUUAUCGGGGGACAGUGCGUGGUGGGUAGUUUGACUGGGGUGGUCGCCUCCAAAAGGGUAACGGAGGCUUCCAAAGGUGCCCUCAGCACGCUUGGCAACCGUGCGCAGAGUGCAAUGGCACAAGGGCGCUUGACUGUGAGACAUACAGGUCGAACAGGUAGGAAACUAGAGCAUAGUGAUCCGGUGGUUCCGCAUGGAAGGGCCAUCGCUCAAAGGAUAAAAGGUACGCCGGGAUAACAGGCUGAU